Molecule: long non-coding RNA, 553 nt
Organism: Passer domesticus (house sparrow)
Lineage: Eukaryota; Metazoa; Chordata; Aves; Passeriformes; Passeridae
Exons: 4
Source: RefSeq, a predicted model, not a curated record
AUCGCGAGUGCACAGUCUGGUAGUGUGUUCACCAGGGUACUACUGGAUUUAGUGCUUUUCUUGGAACUUGUGAUGCUUCUGGACUCCCCAGGAACACAGCAGAGGGGAAAGUGACAGAAGUGAUAGAUGUGACCAGGAGGUCUCACUGUUCAGUGUGAGAAAUCUGUCAGCAUCUAGAAGGAAUGUGCAGUUUCCUGCACCAGCUUAUUUUUACUGUAAAGGUGAAAAAGGAGUUGGGAUGGCACUGGCCCUGUAAUCACAGCUGAAGGGAGAGGAGCAUCAUCGCAGGCCAGAAAUAUCAAAUGAAGUUUGUUCCAGCAGCAGCCUCUUCAACUUCCCACUUCUCAAAUCCAAAAGCAGCUGUAAGGAUGGAGAAACUGAUGUAAAAUGGAUGACCUGACUGCACUGUCACAUUCCAAGAAGAUAAUUGCAAAGAUCAAGAUAUGUAAGCAAACUUUCAGAGAUGCUGCAGUGAAUUAAAUAAGCAGGUAUGUAAAACUGUCUAAACCUGGAAAUCUGAGUCUGAGAUUUCUCAUGUUUUGGCCAAAGAACC